RNAcentral lists this ribosomal RNA (95 nucleotides) under Klebsiella pneumoniae. Its description in RNAcentral is "partial 23S ribosomal RNA". It matches the Rfam family "Bacterial large subunit ribosomal RNA", at positions 2831 to 2925 of the family's 2925-position model. RNAcentral also lists the same sequence under 1 other name. The record is from RNAcentral. Lineage: Bacteria; Pseudomonadati; Pseudomonadota; Gammaproteobacteria; Enterobacterales; Enterobacteriaceae.
AGGAACGUUGAAGACGAUGACGUUGAUAGGCCGGGUGUGUAAGCGCAGCGAUGCGUUGAGCUAACCGGUACUAAUGAACCGUGAGGCUUAACCUU